This 497-nucleotide ribosomal RNA is filed under the name uncultured bacterium. Its description in RNAcentral is "partial 16S ribosomal RNA". It matches the Rfam family "Bacterial small subunit ribosomal RNA", at positions 28 to 507 of the family's 1533-position model. The record is from RNAcentral.
GAUGAACGCUGGCGGCGUGCCUAAUACAUGCAAGUCGAGCGAACAGACGAGGAGCUUGCUCCUCUGACGUUAGCGGCGGACGGGUGGGUAACACGUGGAUAACCUACCUAUAAGACUGGGAUAACUUCGGGAAACCGGAGCUAAUACCGGAUAAUAUAUUGAACCGCAUGGUUCAAUAGUGAAAGACGGUUUUGCUGUCACUUAUAGAUGGAUCCGCGCCGCAUUAGCUAGUUGGUAAGGUAACGGCUUACCAGGGCAACGAUGCGUAGCCGACCUGAGAGGGUGAUCGGCCACACUGGAACUGAGACACGGUCCAGACUCCUACGGGAGGCAGCAGUAGGGAAUCUUCCGCAAUGGGCGAAAGCCUGACGGAGCAACGCCGCGUGAGUGAUGAAGGUCUUCGGAUCGUAAAACUCUGUUAUUAGGGAAGAACAAAUGUGUAAGUAACUAUGCACGUCUUGACGGUACCUAAUCAGAAAGCCACGGCUAACUACGUG